UACGUAGGGGCCAAGCGUUGUUCGGAUUUACUGGGCGUAAAGGGCGCGUAGGCGGCGUGGUAAGUCACUUGUGAAAUCUUGCAGCUUAACUGUAAAAUUGCCAUUGAUACUGACGAUCUUGAGUACACUUGAAGUGGGCGGAAUAUGUCAUGUAGAGGUGAAAUUCUUAGAGAUGACAUAGAACACCGAUUGCGAAGGCAGCUCACUAAAUUGUAACUGACGCUGAGGCACGAAAGCGUGGGGAUCAAACAGG
This 253-nucleotide ribosomal RNA is filed under the name uncultured bacterium. RNAcentral's name for it is "partial 16S ribosomal RNA". It matches the Rfam family "Bacterial small subunit ribosomal RNA", at positions 524 to 776 of the family's 1533-position model. The record is from RNAcentral.